ACGGUCAGGUGCGAAAACGUGGGGAACCAACAGGAUUAGAUUCCCUGGGUGUUCCCCCCGUUAACGAAGUUGAAUUAGAGGUUGUGGUCCUGAAGCGUGGCUUUUGGAACUUACGCGUUAAAUCGGCCCCCUGGGGAGUUCGGCCCCCAGGUUAAAACUCAAAAGAAUUGACGGGGGGCCCCCCCAACGGUGGAACAAGUGGUUUAAUUUGAUGCAACCCGAAGAACCUUUCCUUCUUUUGACCUUCAAGGAAUCCUAUAGAGAUAGAGGAGGUCCUUUGGGAACCUUGAAACCGGUUCUGCAAGGCCGUUGUCAACUCGUGUUGGGAAAAGGUGGGGUUAAUUCCCCCACGAACGCCACCCUUUUCCUUUGUUGCCAACACGUUAUGGUGGGAACUCAAAGGAGACUGCCGGUGAUAAACCGGAGGAAGGUGGGGAUGACGUCAAGUCAUCAUGGCCCUUACGAGUAGGGCUACACACGUGCUACAAUGGCAGAUACAAAGAGAAGCGACCUCGCGAGAGCAAGCGGAACUCAUAAAGUCCGUCGUAGUCCGGAUUGGAGUCUGCAACUCGACUCCAUGAAGUCGGAAUCGCUAGUAAUCGUAGAUCAGAAUGCUACGGUGAAUACGUUCCCGGGCCUUGUACACACCGCCCGUCACACCAUGGGAGUGGGUUGCAAAAGAAGUAGGUAGCUUAACCUUCGGGAGGGCGCUUACCAGCU
Molecule: ribosomal RNA, 720 nt
Filed under: Proteus mirabilis
Lineage: Bacteria; Pseudomonadati; Pseudomonadota; Gammaproteobacteria; Enterobacterales; Morganellaceae
Description: bacterial SSU rRNA
Rfam family: Bacterial small subunit ribosomal RNA
Source: RNAcentral